GAGGCUGCGGAAUCCCGAGUCCACGGAUGGGGCGGGGAGGGAGCGCUGCUGGGACACGAUGGGGUUAAGCUGGGUCGGCCGCCAUUUUGGAUGCCGCGCCGCCCCGCUGCGGGAAGGUGAGUCUCCGCACGCUGCGGGGGCCAACAACAACAAAAAAAAAAAUAAAUAAAGAAAAGCGGGGGCGGCAGGGAAGGAGGCGGGAGACGGGGAAACCUUCUGCCGCAGCCGCCGUCGUUGCGGCGGCGGGGAGCGGGCGUAGCGGCGCUCUGAGGGAGCGCUUCCGCCGAAGCCUGCGCCCCCUUCGGUUGUAACGGUCCCUGCGCGCGGCGUGCCGCCGUUGGGGGGGGGGGGGGGGGGGGGGUCUGGAGAAGGGCGGCGGCGGUUGGUGCCGUUGCCGAGCGCGCGGGUGGCGGCGGGGCGGGGCCGGGCGCGCUGCGGCGGAGCGGCGGGGGCUGCCCCCCCCCCCGCCCCUCAGCCGGGCCGCCCCUUCCCCUCCCCGCUCCCCCCCCCCGGGCCACCGGCCGCCCGCCCUUCUCCGUCAUGGAGGCUCGUUGCCUCCCUGCGACCCGGGGAGUGGAGGGCAGGCGUCUCCCGGUGGGGCUGAGGGAGCCGGCUCCCUGCUCCAGCCCCCGCGGGGGCGGGCGAGACAGCCCCUGGGAGACCGGCCGUAACUGGGAGGCAGCGGGCCCUGAGAGCGAGGUGCCUGCCUGCUCCCCGGCGUUCAUUUGGGUGAAAUUUACCAGGGGUUGGGUUUCUCUUCUUUGGCCCUUUAGGAGAGUUUAUUUUGCGUUUUCCGGCGCGCUCGUGCAGGUUUUCGUUUAAAAUGGUAACAAAAACCUUGAGUUGGGAUUCCCGUUGCAGUCUCUUUGUCUCGGAGCGGAGGAUUUGGGGCAAAAAAAACGACACCAAAUAUCGAAAGACUUGGCAGUGUGGAAGAUCAGCCUAUAAAAAGGCCAAAUAUUCUUACAUAUACUUAGAAUGAUAUUGUUACAUAUGCGUGCAAGACUGGAUGGUAUGAGACAAACGUACAAAUCUAUAAAAUCUGACAAAAGUCCAAUAUGUAAAACAUAUGUUUCGCAUUUUGCUUACAUAUGUUUUGGUUUUAGAUUUGAACAAAAGACAGGUCAGGCAGUUGCUACCCUUCAUUUUUUCAUUGUAAUGAACAGGAAGCUUGCCUGUCUACUCAAGGGUAACUGGUUUCCUACUCUUUCUUUGUAAGCUGUUUGUUUUCUCUAGCUCACAUCUGUUUUCCUCUUUAAAGUCAUUUUGAUGCAAACAAAAUAAAAAAAGUCAAACUACCUAGUCAUCAAGAAAUCUUGCGUCACAGAAGUAGUUGAAAUAGGGCUGAAACCCAAACUAUUUUCAUUGUAUCUAAAGAAUAACUGAGCUACAACUUUAAUUUUUUGACAGUUAUUUACAUUUGUAAGGCUAAUAUUUGGAAAACCUUUGGAACUGCGGGAAUACUCUUAAGCAUGCUUAAAUUUCACAGAAGCUAAUAAAUGAGUAGAAGGUUACUGGUGGAACAUGUUAACAAAUAGCAUCUCUAGCUCUUGUUAUUUGUGUUCUCUACUGUUGCUUAACUAAUGCAUUUCCCUCAUUUCCAUAGGAUUUUGGUAGGGACGUUGCUCUGUUCUUGCGUUACAGCAUUCUGUGCUCUGUUGUCUUUCUGUUCACAUGACAAUCUUAACUUCUUGAGCAUCGGAUCUUCCCAUCACUGUUCAUUUCAUUGACAGCUUAACGUCUUUGAACGCUGGCAGAUGUGCUCUGGUGUCCCUUCCUGAGUUUAAGAUACUAUGACAUCAGCAGUCCACUACUAUAUUCUGUUGUCAUAUACAUAAGCAGCAGAACAUGAUGUGUGUCUGCACCUCAGCUGGAUUAGUGCAUAAUCCGGGACACUGAUUUAAACUACUGGAGGAUUCUGGCUUCUUCUAAAUGAGUGUGUGAGGUGUAGGCACAAGUUCAUAUCUGGUAGUUCUGAAGAGAAAGCAAUUGCCCACAAUAAAAUAGUGUAGAUAGCUGGAAUAACUAACUUUAUAGAAGCAUAAAGCAGGAUUCACUAAGGCACGUCAUUCAGAGUCUUCUAUUUCAUUACAAAAAAUUUUACAUUAUUAAAUCAGAGAGAACCAUGCUUUGAAUUGGAAGAACUGUUGCAAACGGAAGGCAGUAGGACUGAGACAAGAACAGUUGAUACCUAACUGAGAGUCAGUUUCCUGUUCAUAUGAGGUAUUAAUUUGAUUUCUGAAAGUGGUGAAUGUUUCUGAAAAAAAAUUGAGUUUCCUCCAUGCAGACAUUUAUGUGGAACUCACAUGCUUUCUGAGCUGUACCUUUUCAGUUUCAGUUUCUUAGAGCACGCCUGUGCUUCCGUAUUCUUCUUGCAGUCAAGUCAAUAAGUUAGUCUGCAGAGUCACACCAAGGUAAGAAUAUAUUUUCAGGAAAGGUUUGAGUCAGCACUGUCAUGGGAGGUCCCCUGCCCUCCUCAUAUCAGUGCAAGCAUUUGAAUAGCUGCAUAACAACCUGGAUUUGGAAACUGAUCCAGGUAAAAGUGAUCCAACUAAAAAAUAUGGGUUAGUUUUAACUUAGAUUAGGUCCCUGAUCUGCCUCAUUAUGUAGGUAUGUGAAAGCAUGUGCUCACACAGUGGAGGAGGCAGUGCAGGGGCUGAGUUUGAGCAGCAGAAAGAAAGAGAACGCUUUUUUUCCAGCAGUUGGUUUGUGGUAGUUUAAGCUGAUCACUAGUUUAAGUUGCUGAAGUCUAAAAGUCAGAUUAACCGUUACAGUAGAUGACAGACACAAAGCCUAUUUCUGAAUUUCCUACAUUUCAGCUUGUGUGUCAGGGUUUGUUGUUAGCGCUUGUUUUAUUUGUUGCUCAUGGACAUAUGUGUAUGCAUCUACCAUAUGUACAUUUUCUUGUAGUGUAUGCACCUACUGUAUGUAAAUUUUCUUGUAAUUUGUUACCUGAAAAUGCUGCCAUCCUAGGAUGUCAAUAAUUGCAAAACGAAACAUCCUGGUGAGAGAGCACUACCACCCAAUUUCCCUGGUAUCUACAAACUCUGUAUGUACUCUUUCUAAGGUUUCAUCCCGUUUUCUGUUAUAAAGCGAGUCACCCCCUUUCUCUGUUCCUCCAGUUGCUAAGCAGCAGCUGUUCUCCCCAUUAGCUAGCCAUGCAUUUGCAUGAAAAUAAUCAAGCUUGAAUAUGUAACUGCUUCUAAUCAUGCACAGUUAAACAGCUGUACAAUAAAAAUGUAUUAGUUCUAUUAGUUAUCACCAUAACUGGUGACUGUCUUAAAAGUUAGAAUUUCUCUAUAGAGUAAAAUCAAUAUAGUUUUUUUUUUUUAACAAAAGGCACAUCAGUUUUUUCUUUCUCCUAAUCCAUUCUAUGUACCUUACUUAAAAAAAAUGGUCACAAAAUUAUAUCUGCAGUUCACAAAAAUGUAUAAAUGCAAAUAUGAAGACACAGUCAUCUAGCAACUAAACAUGAUGGGGGCAGGGAAAAGCCACAUUUUUCAAAUACUUUCCAAGUUAUUAUAGUAGCAGAAUGCAGCAGAAUUUGAUGAUAAAAGUUUAGACUAUAACACAAUGGUAAAAUUUUGAACAGUACAUCUUAACUGCAAAACUGAUGGGUAUCCUUGUUUGAAUUCCUGUUGAUUUCCAGGCUGUUCCGUUAUUUCUGAGCUCUAUGGUCUGAAAUCUUGGAGUGCUCUCUCAGUCUGGGGAUCUCCUGGAUUUAUCCAAACUGUAUUUCAGAAUGAGGGCUGAGUGUGGCCCACAUAUUCUCAGGCGUUGAUUUUUCAGGUGACAGAAACAUGGUUUCUGCAGAUAAAAAAUCCUGGGCACCCAUGGGUCAAGAGUAAUGUGUGGUCCACCCGGUUGGUAUCCUGACCUAGAGGGUCAGACUGUCUACAUUCCACAGGAAGUUUAUUUCCCAGUGUGCCCCACUAAGUGAAUCAAAAAGGUCUAAAUCUUCAGAUUAAAAUACUUGGUGCUACGCUGUGUAAUUUUGGACUGCCAAACCUGUGCAUACUUCGACACAUCUGAGAAUCCAUAGUCUCAUGUCAGGCUCUAAGGCUCCCUAAACACCCAGCGCAAGAAUAGGUCCUCCUGAUCCGCAAAAGUGAGUACACUGGAUGAGCAGCUGCCUAGAAAUGCUGAGGAAGUGUAAACUGAUUUUUCCCUUGCCCAAAGAAGUAAGGCUGAAGUCUUCUCUCAAGAUUCUCAGUUUGGAGUCUUCUCCUAGAGUUAGGUACCUAAGCAAGUACAGCCAUUAUCUGAUUUGGGAGAUAAAAACAACCAACCAAACAAACAGAAAAAAACCAAACCAACCAACCAAACAAACAAAAAAAAACCACAAGAAAAGCCAGCUCUUUCUUCCAAGCCCAGUAGAUCUGGGAUUUGAAAACAGAUCCGCAUUUCACGCAUGAGUGCCUUAACAGGAGGUUAAUGGAUGUACUAAUGCACCUGUGCAAAAUAUUAGGAAAGAUUAAUUUCUGAUGGUUUUUCAUGUUUUAAGAAUGGUUAUUAGACCGGACAUUGUAGGCAAGGUACGCAGGAGGAUUCCUCACGUGAGAGCCCUGACAAGCCUUGCUUAUACCGCAGGUAGUUAGGCCCACUUACGCCAGAAUUUGAGGCAACAUUACAGAUGCUCAUCGUACCAGUUGAAAGUCAAGCACUGUCUGGAUGUUAUCAGAUAAAAAUCUAAGGACAGCAUGUGAACAGCAAGGAAUUGAGCAACUUGUGGAUCGCAGACUAGUUUAAAGUGCCGCUUAGGCCGCUGAAUUCAUUUGUGGAGGUAACUGUGCUUUGAAAAUAAUACUCAACAUCCUGAUUUGUGUGCAAUUUUAAUUUUUUUUUUUUUUUUUUUUUUUUAAUUCUCAGUGAACAGACAGAGGCUCUGCAAUAGGCUCUGAAGUGUAAGGCAGUCAGGUUCUGUCAGAACCAGGGCAAUCGCAUGUAAUCAAUGGCCUUGCAGCAACAGUGUCUUGCCACUAGAAACCUGAUGGGAAAACUAACCUGGGUCUCAAUUAUGAAAAUACUAGAAGUGUCAAAGCAGUCUUUUAGCAAAGCCUAUUAAUAAAUCUAUCGGAGCAAGAGUGGUGCCGUGUGAUUGGAAAAUAACAAAUGUGCUUGAGGAGAGCCCAAGGAAGUGUUAGGUGCAACGGUUGCAGUAUACGGGACAUAGGAAACAAAUUCUAACAUAGGAUAAGUGAAGAUGUCGAAGUGAAAAAAAAACAUGAAAAAUCUUUAGUGAAGUAAAGGUAGAUUUUGUUGGGGUACCUGGGCAUUUUUUUGAUAAAAUAAUUUAUUGAGAAAGGAAACAAAGUAGAUCUAUUCUGUACUUCAUAAAAGGAUUCAGUAUAGUGCCAUAUGAGAAAUUAAGUAGAAGGCAUAACAUAAAGGAUUGCUAAGGGGAAAUGACAGUGAAUUGUGUUGAAAGAAGGACUGUAAAACUGGAAGUUGGCUACAGGUAGAGUUUACCCAUUUAAUGUCUUGAGCAUAGUCCUAUUUAGUAUAUAAAUAAAACUUGCUGCUAACCUUAAGUUUGGAGAACAGGCAAAUCAUAUAGGAGCAAUUGUGUGUUUUGGAUUGGAAUAAUAGAAAUGUCAUAACAUCUUGCAUAUGAAAGACAAGAUUUCGUACUUUAAAAUUGCUAAGAAUUUUCUGCUCUGAACGAGAACAUCAGAAAUGACAGAAGAUCUGGGAGUCUGAGUAGUAUGAAUCUACCCCCAUGACGGGUCCUAAAGGAGAAGUACAAUCCUAAGCUGCAUGAAGUCUUGCCAUUGCCUGGUAUCAGAAAAACCUACCAGUGAAUAUGUGUACAGGAAAUGCAUAAGUAUUUAAGGAAAUUAUAUAAACUGAAAUGUAAAAUUAAUAAAGAAUUACACAUGUAACAAUGUAGAACUAUACCACUUUUUUUUUUUUUUUUAAAUUGAGAAGGUGUGUUUAAUUGAGAAGCAGGAUAUGCACAAUGUAAGAAAAUGGUCAGUAAACAAUUUUAAUUCUAAA
This is a long non-coding RNA of Tyto alba (common barn owl), 5997 nucleotides long. RefSeq lists it as uncharacterized. Lineage: Eukaryota; Metazoa; Chordata; Aves; Strigiformes; Tytonidae. The record is from RefSeq and is a predicted model, not a curated record. The transcript is spliced from 2 exons.